GCCUGGCUGGCUCAGCUGGUAGAGCAUGCAACUCUUGAUCUCAGGGUUGUGAGUUUGAGUCCCACACUGGGUA
Molecule: transfer RNA, 73 nt
Filed under: Canis lupus familiaris (dog)
Lineage: Eukaryota; Metazoa; Chordata; Mammalia; Carnivora; Canidae
Also listed under: 1 other name
Rfam family: tRNA
About the family: Transfer RNA (tRNA) molecules are approximately 80 nucleotides in length. Their secondary structure includes four short double-helical elements and three loops (D, anti-codon, and T loops).
Source: Rfam by way of RNAcentral